GUAAAGCGCGCGCAGGCGGCACUUCAAGUAAGGUGUGAAAUCUCCCUGCUCAACGGGGAGGGUGCACUUUAGACUGAGGAGCUCGAGGACGGUAGAGGGGGGUGGAAUUGCUGGUGUAGCGGUGAAAUGCGUAGAGAUCAGCAGGAACACCCGUGGCGAAGGCGGCCCCCUGGGCCGUACCUGACGCUGAGGCGCGAAGGCUAGGGGAGCGAACGGGAUUAGAUACCCCGGUAGUCCUAGCAGUAAACGAUGGCCACUAGGUGUGGGGGGUGUUGACCCCUUCCGUGCCGAAGCCAACGCAUUAAGUGGCCCGCCUGGGGAGUACGGUCGCAAGACUAAAACUCAAAGGAAUUGACGGGGACCCGCACAAGCAGCGGAGCGUGUGGUUUAAUUCGAUGCGACGUGAAGAACCUUACCAAGGCUUGACAUGCACUCGCAAGCUCCCGAAAAGGAGCCCUCCUUCGGGACGGGUGCACAGAUGUUGCAUGGCUGUCGUCAGCUCGUGUCGUGAGAUGUUGGGUUAAGUCCCGCAACGAGCGCAACCCUAA
RNAcentral lists this ribosomal RNA (548 nucleotides) under uncultured bacterium. RNAcentral's name for it is "bacterial SSU rRNA". It matches the Rfam family "Bacterial small subunit ribosomal RNA", at positions 560 to 1107 of the family's 1533-position model. The record is from RNAcentral.